RNAcentral lists this long non-coding RNA (1512 nucleotides) under Cercocebus atys (sooty mangabey). Its description in RNAcentral is "lncRNA (ENSCATG00000045639.1)". Lineage: Eukaryota; Metazoa; Chordata; Mammalia; Primates; Cercopithecidae. The record is from RNAcentral.
CAUACAGUCCACUGUUCCCCUACACAAGUAUGCUUCAAUGUGUGACCUUUGAAAAGGAAACACGCCCCCCAUGACAAAUUUAGCAGGAUGUCCCGGCUUUCAUAUGCCUCUCCCAGGAAAAGUAUGAGAUGGAUCCUUAGGCUUUCCACUGCUGACUUUCACGUUGUAAGUUUUCCUUUAAAAUUCUGUUUUGUACUCCAUGCUGUGUCUUGAGCCCUGUUGUAUGUUGCAUGACAGGUGUGACAACAAAAGGACUCACUGUGUGCAGUAACCGUGGAUGUGGAUUUACCGUUCCACUCCUCUGACUGUGCAUAUGGGGAAGGGGAACAGGCCUUGCAGGAGGGCCUGAAAGAUGUGGCCUGGCCGUAACUCAAAAAAGGAAAGCGAGGUCUGGGUGCAGUGGUUCAUGCCUGUAGUCCCAGCACUACGGGAGCUGAGGCGGGUGGAUCACCCGAGGUCAGGAGUUCGGACCAGCCUGGCUAACAUGGCAAAACUCUGUCUCUACUGAAAAAUACAAAAAAAAAAUUAGCUGGGCAUGGUGGCAUGCACCUGUAGUCCCGGCUACUUGGGAGGCUGAGGCUGAAGAAUCGCUUGAACCUGGGAGGCAGAAGUUGCAGUGAGCUAAGAUUGCGCCACUGCACCUCCAACCUGGGAACAGAGCAAGACUCUGUCUCAAAAAAAAAAAAAAAAAAAAAAAGGAAGACUCCUCCAGGAUGGGUACUCAACUUACAGAGAUUAUUUGAUAAAAUUCAAUAAAUCAGCAUUUUUUGAGAAGAGAUUCAACAUUUUCCAAAAGAUCAGUUUGCACAUCUCCACUUUUCAACUCCAGCCAUUGAGCAUCUUGAGGAAUUCUCAAAGGAUCCCAAAACAUGUACAACUUGGCAGUGAAUUGUUUGCAGGCGUUUUUCAAUUGGUUCUUUGGAUUUCAGGGCAUGCUGCUGGAUAAUGCUCAAUGGCAACGGAAGACCCCAACCCUGCUCUCUCACGUCUCUUAUCCCCAUACCACAACUGAAGCAUGACGCUCUGGAGGAGAGGCUUGGUAAGCAGUGGGACCAGAUCCCCAAACUGCCAUCACAUGACAGCAUCCGCAUUUCACCAGGGACCCAUGAGCAGCUCAGGGAAGAGUGGAUCCCCAGUGACGGCUUCACUCAAGAGCCAGCAGAAGUCCUUUAGGCCUGCAUGACUCAGCCUCAGGGAAAGCUCAUCCUCAUCUUAAAAUCAAGGGGAUAGAUGACUCCUCCCACUGUUACCAAGCACACAGGAUGUGGAAGGGCAUUCAAAACACAAGGAUCAACAUUUGUCAAAAGUUUUGAAGGAUGAAACUUCAGAGUGUGUUAAUGAAGUGGCAUGACGUUCGAUACAGCAGGACAUAAGAUAUUUGGAAAAAGUGAGCUGAAUAAGAGCUGAAAAUGAAGCUGGGUUCAUUUUUUGAGAGCCUAAGAUAUUGUGUUAAAUUUGAGUUUUAUUCCAGAAGGCACUGGGGAGCCAUAGAGGGUGGUCAGCAAAAACAUG